ACCGUGUGGGAAAGACCGGGUUCCGGGAGCGAGCGCCUGUCUCUUUAAGUGCCAGGGGCUGCGCUCCCGCCCGGGGAGCCCGGAGCCGGAUCUACAAUCCGGUCCCUCCCGCUCCGGCGCUUGUUGCUCGCCGGGCCCGAGCGGGAGCUGCCACCGCCGGGCAGGGUAGCCGAGCGGCUUCUUUCUCCUCCUUCUCGCGCCACACCUCCCCCGAGAGCCGGUGGAGGGGGCAGGGCAACCCCCGCAGGAGGCAAGAGGUGCGGGGUGAACAGGCAUUGCCCCCCCCCCCCCGCCUUCAAGUCCCGAGGCGCUAAGUAGCCGAGGGGGCGAGACAUGCGUCGCUCCCCGCUGUCCAGCUUCGCCGCCGCCCGCGCCAGGAGAGGAGGGACCGGGGAGCCCACACCUGCAAACUCGCCCUAGAAGUCUCAGGGUGCGGAGGCCCCCACCCCGCUCCCCCGCGGACUCCACCUCUCGGCGGGUGGUCUCAGCCCCUGUCCGGGGACCCGUGCCAAUGACCCCAGUGGUGGUUUCGCUUUCUCCCCUCUCGGCGGUGUGAACGUGUGUGUGUGUCCGCAGCGUGAUGGGCAACCAGGUGGAGAAACUGACCCACCUAAGUUAUAAGGAAGUUCCCACAGCCGACCCGACCGGCAUGGACCGGGAUGACGGGCCUCGCAUCGGGGUCUCCUACAUCUUUUCCAACGACGACGAGGAAGCGGAGUCGCAGCCACCGCCCCAGGGUCCGGAUGGCGGGGGCUUGCCCAAAGGCGAGGACGGGCCGCCGCCGCCCCCGCCGCAGCCCUACGACCCUCGGCUGCACGAGGUGGAGUGCUCCGUGUUCUACCGCGACGAGUGCAUCUACCAGAAAAGCUUCGCGCCGGGCUCCGCGGCGCUGAGCACCUACACGCCCGAGAACCUGCUCAACAAGUGCAAGCCUGGCGACCUGGUGGAGUUCGUGUCCCAGGCGCAGUACCCGCACUGGGCUGUGUAUGUGGGUAACUUCCAGGUGGUGCAUUUGCACAGGCUGGAGGUGAGCAACAGCUUCCUGACCGACGCGAGCCAGGGCCGGCGCGGCCGCGUGGUGAACGAUCUGUACCGCUACAAGCCCCUCAGCCCCAGCGCCGUGGUGCGCAACGCGCUGGCACACGUGGGCGCCAAGGAGCGCGAGCUGAGCUGGCGCAACUCGGAGAGCUUCGCCGCCUGGUGCCGCUACGGCAAGCGCGAGUUCAAGAUCGGCGGCGAGCUGCGCAUCGGCAAGCAGCCCUACCGGCUGCAGAUCCAGCUCUCUGCCCAGCGCAGUCACACGCUCGAGUUCCAGAGCCUGGAGGACCUGAUCAUGGAGAAGCGGCGCAACGACCAGAUAGGGCGCGCGGCUGUGCUGCAGGAGCUCGCCAUGCACCUGCACCCGGCCGAGCCAGAAGAGGGCGACGGCGACACUACACGGACUAAGCCGCCUCUCGAGCGCCCCCCUGAGCCCUGCUGGGAGGAGGAGGACCGAGAGGCGGCGGUGCACUGAUGGGCCCGCUGAAUGCACAUCAGUGAGAGGAAGCUGUUGCCAGCAGCCGCUGCCCCCUCUCUCCAUUCCUCUACCCUCACCUUCUGGGCCCCAUCUGGGCUCCUGGGCCAUUUGGAAAAUAGAGAGUUGGUGAAAGGCGCAGCCAGCUGUGGCUUGAGCUUGUUAUCUUCUUGACAGAGGAGGAAGAGGGUGCAGGUAGGAAGAAAACUUUGGUUGGGGGCACGGCCUGCCCACCCUUGCAAUCUGUCAUCUUUCUGAGGUGGGGCAAAUUGUGGACAUGCCUGACACUAAGUCCCUGCUGGACCUGGGUCCAAAAUCGACCCUUUUUAUGCACACAGGGGUGGAGAAAAGUUCGGAAUACCAAGACCUGCCAUUGCCUCCUAGCCUGGGCUUGGAGGAUGCCCUGUCCUAAGGCCAGAGUGGGGUUGUGGCCAGCAGAGAGCCCCAUAUCCUCUAUCCCUGUGGAGCUGUGUGUGGGAUCCAGGAGGCUGAGUGGUUUAUUUUAUGGGACUCCUGGGAUGCAAGCCUGGAGAAACCAGGACCAGCUCCGGGAGCAACAGACCAAAACCGAGCAGCUGCCUGUGAAGUGGAACAAAAUGCCCAGUAAACUUGGGCUACAAAACAAAAGAGUUUGCUACCUCCCUCCUCCCCGUCCCCAAGCAAUUCAUCUUCUGGAGCUGGCUGAGUCUCCUACCCCCUCCUGCUCCACCAGCCACUUCCCAGGUUAUAAGUAAAUCAUUGUCAUGGGCCAGCUAGGGGAAGGAUUCAAUUAUGGUUCUGUUUGGCCGCCUUUGUUUCUAGCCUGCUAUUGUAGGCAUUUACAGCUGUGUUAUUCGCUAUCCAAGGAGGGAAUAGCCUUUUGUGUCUCUGAUCUAAUUAAACCUGCUAGGCUGUGUUCAUCCGAAGGUCGCACCUGGGAUUGGCUGGUGCCAGCCACCCCAUAAAGUAUCCACUACAGAAGCAGCCAAACAGGUUUGUCCUGGUAGGAAUUAGUCAGUCACUCCCACUGAACCCCAUUCCUGAACAAUGAAGGUAACCUUAAAACGGAAGGCUUUGAUGGUGGUCCUGUGAAUUUUAAUUUUCCCUUCUCAUUUUUGUUCUUCUGCUGUUAAAAUCUUAGGCCUGAGGCAUGCUUCCGUGAUAAGGUAUUUAUUUUGGCAGCGAUGCUUGAGGCACACUUAAUUCAAAAGAUGCACCAAUUCUUUUUAUGUUUUAUGUGGAAGCAGUGUCCUUGGUGCUGGGAGGACACCCCUUCAGAAUGCCUUCUCCAGAGAGCUGACUGCAGUCACAGAUGCCACGUGGUGUAGUCAGUGCCAAAUCUGGCGACACUCCUAAAGCACUGGUUCCUGAUUGUGGGAUCUGUUGGCAGCAGGCUGGCUAAUAAUACUCACUGGAUCUCCUGCUGAGCCAUAGUUUGCUUUAUUAUGAGGCUUUAAACAUUUUUUACAACGCGUUCCUUGUAUUCCGGUGAGCUCUUUAAUGAUGUGUGCCCUGGACUUCAGAAUGCAUCUCUGCCGCUCAAUGAUGUUGCUAACGCUGUCUCAAAAGUUGAGUCGAGUUUUUCUUUCUGUUGGGAGUCAUUAGAGAUUACACUGAACAUACACUGAACGUGUCAUUUUGCGACCUAAUUCUCACGGUUGGAGUAGAAUCAUAUUUGAGUCUCUACCGUGUGGUCAUCCUUGGGCCUCCUGCCUGGACAUCUCUAAAUCAAGGCAACAAGACUUGAAGGAUGUCCUUGUAUACUUUUUCGGACUUGGCAUUUGAGGCCAUAAUUUUUAAGACUUCAUAGCACCUCCAUAUGACAUCAUUUCAUUACAAGGGCAUUAGCUAUGUUCCCUGCUUUUGCAGGCAUCUCCAGACAGGUCCUAUCACUUUGUUAAAGAUGAACCACACUCAACCCCAGCCUGCAUCUUUGGAGACCCAUCGUCCCCUGUUGGGAAUGUAAGUCUAGUUUCCAUGUUUAGUAAAUCUCACCACUUAGUGUUUAUGUUGUCUUGCUCAUGGAAAAGCAGAGCAAGAGAAACAUGGGGCCCUGGCUGGUUUGGCUCAGUGGAUAGAGCAUUGGCCUGUGGACUGAAGGGUCCCGGGUUUGAUUCCAUGCCCAGGUUGCAGACUUGAUCCCCAGUGUGGGGUGUGCAGGAGGCAGCUGAUCAAUGAUUCUCAUUACUGAUGUUGCUAUGCCUCUCCCUCUCCUUUCCUUGCUGAAAUCAAUAAAAAAAUAUAUUUUUUAAAAAAAGAGAGAGAAGCAUGGGUACAGGCAUUGAGGAGAGCUACUCUACCUAACAGAUUUGGAUUUUCUUUUAUGUUGAGCACAGUAGUGAAAGUUGGAAGGAAUGACUAACGUGCAGGCAGCGGGAAGGAAGAAGAACAGGCAACACUGCCCAGCAGCUCAGGGCUAGCCAGCCAGCUCUCUUUCCCUCUCCCCCAUCGCUGUCUCCCUCUUUUGCUCUCACAUGGAAAGUGAAUGUCAUUGGUCACAUUGAGGUAUAGCGGUGACUAUCUGUUGUUGCAAACAAACUGCUUUUGUGAGAAGUCUCAAGCAAACAGGUUUUUGAUGGCAGAAGAGGAAAUAGAUCUACUCCGCGUCCUGCUUUCCCAUGUCCAACAAGCAUUUUGUACAGGGUACCAGAGAUGGGACAUAUGUACGUCUUAGGAACUGUGAUGCCAUCGGAAGGUUUUGUAGGCUCAUAAGGCUUCAAGUAGAGCAACAACCAACCAGCAAAGAUGCCAAGAAAGGAGGAAGGAAUCGGCUCUCAGCUCUUUCUUCAAUAUGGCAGUGUUGUGGGAUUAAGACUUUAGAACUAUUUUGUACAUCAAAUUACAGAUGCUCUUUGAAGGAAAGAAAUAUCGAUUCUAAGGUUCUUCAGAGGCUCUGGCAGGGAUGAGCAGGACACCCGCGUGGAGCGUAUGCUAAGUGUAAUCAUACAAAUUCUAUUUUCUUACCUGAGCAGCUAUUUUAUGGGACUGCUUAUGUAUGUCCGAGGAGCCCACAACUUCAGCCACGCAACUUUUUUGUACUGCGAGAACUCAACUUUUUGUAGCUUUUAUUUCACAUUUAAUUUAAAGUAACUAGAGCACUAAAAUGCCUAGCGGAAGAUUUUCCUCCAGACCCGUAAGGAAAUUUUAUGAAAAAUGACCCGUCCGUGGUUAAACUUUUCAUGUUGUUGGUGCUUCUGACCCCAAUAGCACCACUAGACAACACAACAACCACAUGGAAACAUAUUUUUGGAAGCAAAACUUUAAUUUUAUACGACAUAUGCUAUGGAGAGUGAAGAAAAUUUAAGGAUUACUUGUUUUCUAUUUUUUUCUUAACAAAAUGGAAUCCACUGUGUCGAAGACUCUUGAUAUGUGAUUGUCUAACAUUUUUUAUACCAGUAAAUUGAAAUAAAAUCCAGUAUGAUCAUGGUCAUUGAAUGCAUUAGUCUGAAAAGUUAUAUUUUAUUUAUGAUUUUUAAAAAUCAGGGUAACUGUAAACUUUUCAUUGUGUUGUUUUGUUCUUCAGUAUACUUGUAACCCAUGGAGAAUUCCAUUGAUGAACACGAUAAUUUCCACAUGUGUUUUAUUUCUCAGUGAACUGUGUAAACUUUAAUUUUGUUGAAGGUUAUAUGUUAACUCUGUUAAUGUUCUCAUACCACUUCUUGAGAAGGAAGUUCUGAUUUGAAAUUGUAUCAUUUCCUUCAAAAUGAAGGGCAGUGCUUAGUUAAAUAAAAGAUUGAUAACAUCUUUUAAACCA
Molecule: RNA transcript, 5246 nt
Organism: Eptesicus fuscus (big brown bat)
Lineage: Eukaryota; Metazoa; Chordata; Mammalia; Chiroptera; Vespertilionidae
Gene: LRATD2
Gene name: LRAT domain containing 2
Exons: 3
Source: RefSeq, a predicted model, not a curated record